GAUCCUGCCGGAGGCCAUUGCUAUCAGGUUUGAACUAAGCCAUGCGAGUCGAGAGGUGUAAGACCUCGGCAUACUGCUCAGUAACACGUGGUUAACCUGCCCUAAGGUGGAGAAUACUCCCGGGAAACUGGGGCUAAUGCUCCAUAGUGGAUAUGUCCUGGAAUGGUAUAUCCUCGAAAGAUCCGUCGCCUUAGGAUGGGACUGCGUCCGAUUAGGUUGUUGGCGGGGUAACGGCCCACCAAGCCUUUUAUCGGUACGGGUUGUGGGAGCAAGAUCCCGGAGAUGGAUUCUGAGACAUGAAUCCAGGCCCUACGGGGCGCAGCAGGCGCGCAAACUUUACAAUGCGAGCAAUCGUGAUAAGGAAACCCUGAGUGCCUGUCGAUGCAGGCUGUUCAUAUAUCUAAAUCAUAUGUGAAGAAAGGGCAGGGCAAGACCGGUGCCAGCCGCCGCGGUAAUACCGGCUGCUCGAGUGAUGGCCACUAUUACUGGGUUUAAAGCGUCCGUAGCUUGACUGUUAGGUCUCUUGGGAAAUCUUCGCGCUCAACGUGAAGGCGUCUAAGAGAUACCAGCAGUCUUGGAA
RNAcentral lists this ribosomal RNA (580 nucleotides) under uncultured Methanocorpusculum sp. Its description in RNAcentral is "bacterial SSU rRNA". It matches the Rfam family "Archaeal small subunit ribosomal RNA", at positions 10 to 598 of the family's 1478-position model. The record is from RNAcentral. Lineage: Archaea; Methanobacteriati; Methanobacteriota; Methanomicrobia; Methanomicrobiales; Methanocorpusculaceae.